RNAcentral lists this long non-coding RNA (1092 nucleotides) under Felis catus (domestic cat). RNAcentral describes it as "lncRNA (ENSFCAG00000049118.1)". Lineage: Eukaryota; Metazoa; Chordata; Mammalia; Carnivora; Felidae. The record is from RNAcentral.
UCUGCUUUGAAGAAAUGGUGCUGUAAUUAUGACAAAAAAAUAGUAAUCAACACUCUUUUAACAAAUGAAAUGCAGCACUUUUUGACUUUCAGUGUUUCAUAAUUACUGUAUCUUUUACUAUAGUUAUUAUAAAUGUUUUAAGCUACAGGAACAAAAUUAAAAAGAAAAUCAAACAAAUCCUGAGCAGAUAAUUAACACAUUACUAUGCCAUAGCCAUUCUCUCUCUUUCUGUUCCUUAUGUUACUUUCAUGUCAUUUACUGUAAAUAUUGACUUGGACCCCAAUAUGUGUCAGGUACUGUUUUAUGAGUUAGGGAUACACAGGGAACAAGAUCAACAAGGUUCAUGGCUUCACAGUGUCCAUGCUGGGGGAAAAGAGGGAAGCAAUCAAUGACAAAUCAAUAAACGUAUUAACAGUAAGACUUCAGAACAGAAUAAAUAAUGGAAGGACCAAUAUACUAUGGUGUACAUAACUGAUGGUAAAUGGUGUUUCUGAACCAUAAAUGGUGGUUGGGAAGGAUCUAUCUAGAGAAGUAAUAAUGAAAUUCCUGACCUGGACAACAGUGCCUAGAAACUUCUCUUUGUCUGCCUGAUCAUGACUUGGACUUCCUAGUCCCAAAUCCAUACCUACUUUGGUAAUCUCCCCCAAACAAUGCUGUGGAUGAUUAAGAAAGAAUUCCUCAGAAGAUGGAAUUUCAAGAUUAUACUUACUCCUUAUUUCAUGGAUCUUCCGGAUGCUGUCAGAUUUCAGGCUUGAAAUCUGUCUUGACAUUUCCUAGAUGCAUUUUUGUUUUGCCUUUCCACUAGUUAAUUGGUGACAUAUUUGCUAUUUUUCAGUGAUUUGCCAGACCCAUGGGCACAGUGGGAUACUUGUCUUCUACAUUUGUACUUCUCAUCAACCAACCAACAAACAAACACCAAAAAACUAAAGCUGUUGAAAUUGAUGAAGCAAACCACAAUGUCUCAAGCUUUAGAAAAAAUGUUCCUGGUAUAUCAAAUGGAAUAGAAAAUUCUUUGAUCUUUGGAACUCUUGUUAUCUGAUGCAACCAAGAAUCAAUAAUAAAGAAAUGGUGAAUAUUUGUUAUAAUGUCCUG